GACACACCUGGGAGAGACAGGCGGACACAGAUGGAUACAGGGAGCGACAGGCAGACAGACGUGCAGACGGGAGAGACAGGUGGGCACAGAUGGACAGGGGGACAGAUGGACAGAGACACACUUGGGAGAGACAGGCGGACACAGAUGGAUACAGGGAGUGAUGGGCAGACAGACAUGCAGACAGGAGAGACAGGCGGACACAGAUGAAUACAGGGAGUGAUGGGCAGACAGACAUGCAGACGGGAGAGACAGGUGGGCACAGAUGGACAUGGGGAGAGGUGGACAGAGAUACACCCUGGAGAGACAGAUGGACACGGGGAGUGACGGGCGGACAGACACACAGAGAUGGGAGACAGGCGCACACAGUAAGAGACAGACGGACACAGUAAAGUGGACACAGUAAGAGACAGGCGGACAAACAGGGAGGCAGAUGGGAGAGAUAAGCAGAUAUAGAUGAACCCGGGGAGCGACGAACAGACACAGGGACUCCCACUGGUCCGUGGGGUAUCCAUUCUGUGUGUCUACACUGCUCAUCCCCAUGGUGUCUAAGCCACUGCCGGCCCCCCCAGGCACGGCGCCUUCGGGGCAGGAGCCGGGGCAGGCCAAGGCUGCGUCCUGGGCUCUGAAUCGCUAUGGUUACAAUGUGGGCGCACAGGGCCGCGGUUUCAGGCCAUUGGUUGUAAGGAGUGUUGGGAGGGAGGGGCUCUGCAGUGUUUCCAUUGUGGGGCAGAUCACAAAGCUGGGGACUGUGCCCCUCAGAUCGGGGGCGUUUGGAUUUGGGCUCUGUUAUUGUUCUCGCCCUGCUGUGCUACCAGCCUCCCCAGGCGCCAGCGGUGGGAUUUCAGUCAGACGGGGGCUUCCUGGUUUGAUGUGUGGGGCCAAAGUCACUGGGCUUUGGAGCUAAUUAAAAGGUUAAAGGUUGGGGAACGCAGCCCUGAGACCCCCCUUCCCAUGGGCAGCAACUGCCUCAGAGCUGGGCCCAGAGCCAGACCCCGGGGCUGACGGGGUGAUCCCCUGGAUCCGGAUUUCCUGGCCGUACCCUGAUCUGGACACGCCUAAGCUUGGACCCCCCCCAAUCCCAGGCCAGCAGGGGGGGGGGUUGGCCCCAUCUCCUUGGUAACUGCCCUGCCCGCCGCGCCCUGCGGCCUUGGCUGUGUGUUUAAAGCGUGGGAGGUAGGUGUGGCCUUGCUUUCCCUCGCUCACCGAGCCGAGCUGUUCUCCCCCAGGCCGCAGGGAGCUGGCUGGGCUGGUGUUUGGUACCCCAGGGCAGUGACCACCGUGCGCUGCUUUACGGCUCCAAACAGCCCUUUCUCCUUAGCCCUGGUGUACGGGCACGCUGGCCCCUGAUCCCAAGGGUGAGUGGCACCAGCUGGCUCUUGGGAAUAUCCCCAAGUGUUACGCCCGAGGGACACGGCUCCUCCUUGCACUGGUGUUUUCGCGUAGGUGGUGCUUUCCUGCCGUCCAGGCCCCCUGCACUGCAGCCCCCUGAUCCUUGCUAGGAGUCGACGCCUGUUGCAGCCUCUGACUGCCUUACCCAGCAACGGGACAGAGCGGGACGUCUGCCAGUCGGGCGACAGUGCUUGCUGGCUCCCAGAUACCCUUUGUCCAGGCAACGUUCAUGCCGUGUCCUGUGUGCACAGAGUGUAUGCUGCAUGCAAACAGCUCAAAUGCAGGGCAGACCCCGACCAUGCAGCCUUUGGCUACUGGUUCGUGAUGCUGUUUGGCUGAGGUUGAUUUUCUUGGGCCUCAGCUGGGCCCUAACCCGACAGGGAGCAGAUGCAGGGAAGAGUUUCCCCUCCUUGCUGUCCGCCUGCCUCUGUAGACCCCUCUAACUUCUGCCAUUACUUGCGAAUCUCCCCCUGGAACGCCCAGGGGCCGUGGGCCACCUGCCAGUGUUACACUCUGGGGCCAUCUCUGCCGCAGACUGUGCCCAUGUUACCCGCAUCCUGUGCCACGCUAGAGCAGAUGGGACCUCUGGGAGAGUGGCGUCUGGGCCCAGGGGGGUGACCGCUGCUCACCGUCCCUUGGGAGGGAGGGAGGAUAUUUGUGAGUGUUUCUCCUAAAGGCUUUGGUGAAUUCCAGGUCCAGGAGGUGGUCUCGGAGUUCCUGGCACAGAGUUGCUCCACAGUUAUAGUUUCCAUUAUAUCCUAAUUUUUCCCAUUCUUUAAAAUGCACCAGCCUUGGCGUUGGCAGGUAGCUCGGGGGCUGAAGUGGAGCGUUUGUGCGGGCGUUGGAGGGAACCAGAGCAGGGGUUCGGGCAUUAGGACGUACAGCUGUCAGACACGGCUCCACCAGGCUUCCGGCUUUUUGUUUUUAUUUCCUGGUUAGCAGAAAAGCCUGAAGGACGCCUGGCUUGCUGGGGUUCUCAGUAGGCCCACAGCCCAGGGACGGCCCCCCUGUGUGCAUCCAUUGUCCCCGUGCCAAGGGGCAGAGGAGACGAUUACAGGGCGACCGUCUCUCCACUGAGGAGGGCCCCCCCCCCCGAGCCUUGUCGGGCUCAUCGGGUAGCUGGCGGGUGGGGUGGGGACAUUGGUGGGUAUCCCCUGGCUUGGGGGUUGUGGUGGAGGGGAGUCCCUGAACCUUCUAAGGCCUGUGAGCAGCAGGGGGCGUGGGGCAGAACUGAGAGGAUCUGUGGGGUGGGGGCACAGUUUGCCAGCCACAGGGCUGCACUAAGUGCCUCCGUGGGAGCAGGGCUCUGCUAGCCGAGGGCUCCUGGCUCUAGCCGACAGCAGACCCAGAUUCAGUAGCUGGAAGCUGAAGUCAGGUGGAUUCAGACCAGGAAAGGGCUCGUUUUACUGGGCGGGUGAACGGACCAAGGGGUGCGAUGGAUUCGCCGUCACGGUCUGGAACAGACUGGCCCUGGCUGCCCCAGAAGGGAUGGGACGGGUGCGGGGAGCAGGGGGGAUUCUCUGGGUGACGCAGGUGAUCGCACAUCCCAGUUGGCCUGGAGAUCUCUGACUCGGUGGCCGGCCUGUUGUGGUGGGCACA
Gopherus flavomarginatus (Mexican gopher tortoise) is the source of this 2988-nucleotide long non-coding RNA. RefSeq lists it as uncharacterized. The record is from RefSeq and is a predicted model, not a curated record. The transcript is spliced from 3 exons. Lineage: Eukaryota; Metazoa; Chordata; Testudines; Testudinidae.